GUCAGCGUUCCGAGACGUGCUCUUAGGACUGCAUAUAGGAGCUGCACUUGCAUGCCUGAGAGGCGUUUCGAAGAUAGCCGCCAAGUGACAUGACAAGGACUUUGAUACAGUUGAAACCUGUUAAUUUUAAUGAAGAUCCACCAAAAUGCCUGAAGUCAGAGGUAACUAAGCAUGAGCCCAAGAGCUACAGCACUGAGGAACAGCAAGAACCGGCAAUCAGCAACUACAGACAAUUCUGUACAUCUGUACUUUACAUCCAACAGGUCUCAAAACAACAUCUCAAAACUAAACACACCAAAACACCAUCAACCACUGCAGGAUAUCUCAAAUAGGCCUACACACUGCCAGUCUAUAUAUAAUAUGGUGCUGAAUGAUUAUUAAAUAAACGUUAGGAAAUUUAUAUGGCGCUUAAAUGUUUUUCAAAUGAUAACAUGUUAUACAAUAAAUAAAUAUAUAAAACACACCCUUCAAUAUAUCAAUAAUCAAAAUAACAUCCUUGAAAAAAAGGUAGUGUUACAGUACCGUGGUACAGUGAUGCUCUCAGGUGGUCAUAUAAAGCAUAGUUCAGAGCAUCCCAUGGUGAAUGUCCAUAAAAUUGGUAAAAGCAUGAUUUCCCAAAGCAGGGUUUGUUUUGUUCUAAAUGUGUGUUCAAAAUAAAAUAACUGCAC
Long non-coding RNA from Cyprinus carpio carpio, 668 nucleotides. The record is from Ensembl. NCBI's taxonomy places the organism in Eukaryota, Metazoa, Chordata, Actinopteri, Cypriniformes, Cyprinidae.